UGUGGUUCGCGCGACUGGCGCUACGAGAUGGAUCACCAUCGGGGAACGCGAACCGCACUCCGCCGCUGGCCGGAAUCGCGAAUCGCCGCGCGCCUGGGCAUUGCCU
Molecule: non-coding RNA, 106 nt
Filed under: Paraburkholderia sp.
Lineage: Bacteria; Pseudomonadati; Pseudomonadota; Betaproteobacteria; Burkholderiales; Burkholderiaceae
Description: ZTP sequence
Rfam family: ZMP/ZTP riboswitch aptamer (pfl RNA motif)
About the family: Previously known as pfl RNA. ZMP is also known as AICAR.
Source: RNAcentral